Molecule: unclassified non-coding RNA, 336 nt
Filed under: soil metagenome
Description: partial contains 5.8S ribosomal RNA, internal transcribed spacer 2, and large subunit ribosomal RNA
Rfam family: 5.8S ribosomal RNA (bases 1-119)
Source: RNAcentral
GAUGAAGAACGUAGCGAAAUGCGAUAAGUAAUGCGAAUUGCAGAAUCCGUGAGUCAUCGAAUCUUUGAACGCACAUUGCGCCCCUUGGUAUUCCAUGGGGCAUGCCUGUUCGAGCGUCAUUUGUACCUUCAAGCUCUGCUUGGUGUUGGGUGUUUGUCUCGCCUCUGCGUGUAGACUCGCCUCAAAACAAUUGGCAGCCGGCGUAUUGAUUUCGGAGCGCAGUACAUCUCGCGCUUUGCACUCAUAACGACGACGUCCAAAAGUACAUUUUUACACUCUUGACCUCGGAUCAGGUAGGGAUACCCGCUGAACUUAAGCAUAUCAAUAAGCGGAGGA